AGAGUUAGAAGAGUCUUUGCUGGCCUUUAGCUCUUUAGAGUUUCUGGUGUCCUCCCAUAUGGGUGCUCAGGAAAACACCCCAGAAGCCUUUGUAUCUGACAUGACAUGACAGCAGAAGCAGGCAGGGUAACUGAAGAAUGCACAGAAUAACUACAGUCUGGCUCAGAUAGAGAGGUACCUUCAGCAACUGGCUGCACUCUGGAUUGCCUCUCCUAACCUGUGAGAAUAUGAGCAAGAUCCUGCCAGACAUAAGGGAAGGGAGCUGCUGCAGUGACUUCUUUGGAAGAAGCAUUCAAAGAACAGUGCAGCUGCUACAAGCACCCAAUGGAAGAGAGACAAAUAACUUCAGCAUAAUUUGUAUCAUGACUAGGGAUAGCCUUGUGCAUCUUCCUGACCCUGCUCCACAUCAACUCGUAGCUAAUCCACUGCAAAGUUUUGAACAGUUAACUGCACCUACACCAAGAGUUGCCAUCACAGCAGGCACUCUGACACUGCUUCUCUGAAACACAUCCAUCAUGAGCCCAGCCGUGAAGGAGACAAGCUCAGGCAUGAGAAGAAUGGAGCACUGCACAUGCCACCAAGGGUGACACCAGUGUGCAACUACACAAAGCAGUCAACUCACUGUGGUUGAAACUCAAGAACCUGUGAUCCACUAAGUACUGAGAGAUCUAGAACAACUUUCUCUGUGCACUUGUGUUCACCUGGAACCAUUUGACUACCUGACAUAAACAUGCUUCUUCCAAGAACUGAAAGCCACCAGCAGGCCUGGCCAUUCUUUCACUUUACUGCCCAGUAUAUUUACUAGAGGUUUACACACAGGCUAUGCAGUAUAAUCCCAAGUACCCAGACUGUGGGCUAGUUUUCUCCAAUUUACUUUCACAAAUUACAGUGCCUAAAACAACAGUCUGAAAGGAAAGGGCAUUGUUUUUAGGAGCCUCCAAGUCAACAGCUGAAGUCUCUAUUCAUAAGUAUGGUAUCUGGACCUGUGCUUGGGCAGUGUUGUUCAGUCAUGUAAAAUGCUCUUAAACACACAAUAUUGAGUCUCUUUUAUGAGUGUGAAAACUUAAAAAGAAAAUGAACCUCAAACAAAGCACAUCUAUAAGACCACUGGCUGGAGAAAGGUAAUCUGGUUAAUGACAAGACUGAAGAAGUCAUCAUUAGUUAUUUAGAAGGAAAUGCAGUGGAGCAUGUAAACUUCACAGAGAAUACUUGGAGCCCAUUACAAUAUCAAUGAGCUAGAUUAAUGAUUGUAAAUGACCACCACUACAGAACUGGUCUGAAUACAGAACAGAAUGAAUGCACUAAGAGAAACCUGAAACAAGGCAUCCAACUGCCCCUUUGAAGGGUAU
This is a long non-coding RNA of Passer domesticus (house sparrow), 1349 nucleotides long. RefSeq lists it as uncharacterized. The record is from RefSeq and is a predicted model, not a curated record. Lineage: Eukaryota; Metazoa; Chordata; Aves; Passeriformes; Passeridae. The transcript is spliced from 3 exons.